AGGGGUGACUAGUGACAGAGUGAGGGAAUGGGUGACUAGUGGCAGAGUGAGGGAGGGAAGAGAUGACUAGUGGCAAAGUGAGGGAGGGAAGGGGUGACUAGUGACAGAGUGAGGGGGGUGACUGUCACUAGUCACCCCAUCCCUCUCUCUGUCACUAGUCACUCCCUCCCUAACUCUGUCACUGUGUCACCCGCUCCCUCACUCUGUCACUGUGUCACCCGCUCCCUCUCUCUGUCACUAGUCACCCCAUCCCUCUCUCUGUCACUAGUCACCCCCU
Molecule: non-coding RNA, 277 nt
Organism: Pelobates cultripes (western spadefoot toad)
Lineage: Eukaryota; Metazoa; Chordata; Amphibia; Anura; Pelobatidae
Source: the annotation of a GenBank genome assembly